Molecule: unclassified non-coding RNA, 238 nt
Filed under: uncultured Mortierella
Lineage: Eukaryota; Fungi; Mortierellomycota; Mortierellomycetes; Mortierellales; Mortierellaceae
Description: sequence contains ITS2
Source: RNAcentral
AACACCUCAACCUCCUCUUGAUUUUUCAAAAGGAGGGUGGGCUUGAGCUAUCCCAACAACCUUAAUCGGUCGGCGGGCGGCUUGAAAUGCAGGUGCAGCUGGACUUUUAUCUGAGCUAAAAGCAUAUCUAUUUAGUCCUCGUCAAACAGGAUUAUUACUUUUGCUGCAGCUAACAUAAAGGAUAAUUGUCCUCUUUGCUGACUGAUGCGGGAUUUUACGACACUUUAUGUGUUGUUCA